AAUAAUGUGGCCGAACCUAAAGCAAUAAACUGUAAAUUUAUUUAUGAAUUAAAAUUUAUUUAUUCCAUUAUUA
Molecule: transfer RNA, 73 nt
Filed under: Psyllaephagus sp.
Lineage: Eukaryota; Metazoa; Arthropoda; Insecta; Hymenoptera; Encyrtidae
Description: tRNA-Tyr
Source: RNAcentral